Molecule: non-coding RNA, 600 nt
Organism: Triticum urartu
Lineage: Eukaryota; Viridiplantae; Streptophyta; Magnoliopsida; Poales; Poaceae
Source: RefSeq, a predicted model, not a curated record
ACACCAGUGGCAACCUGACGAGGUCACGCUCCUUACCAUCAUAAUUCCCGUGCAAGAACGUUGCUCUCACGAGGUACUUGAAGCCUGUCGUGGCAGGAGACAAGGUGUAGCAGUUCCGGCCUCCAUUGGGAAAGCUUCUGAGGUAGCUGGAUCCACCUGGAAGCCCGCAGUCUAUGCUGAUGAAUCCUUCGUCUGCACGGAUGGGGAAACAUGUUAGGUAAAAAUCAAUGGAACGCGGGUGGAGCAAGAAAUGGAUCAAAUCUCGGGCUGUAGUGAGCUGAGCCCUGUUUCCUUGUGAUUAUUUUUGUACUUUCUCAGGAGGCUUUGGUGAACUUUUCAUUUUUCUAACUUCUGUAAAAAAUCUUUCGAGUACAUACAUUGUGAAUUGCUAGAAGUCGAUAAAUGAAUUAGAUGUUAGAAUACAUAUUGGGUUUAAAGAUAGAGAUAAGGAGAUAGAGAUCGAAUAGAUUUAAACAAUGUAUAUUUUGUCUUGUACUCCAAGCCUCUACCCCUUGUGUAUUAUAUAUAUACCCCAUAUAAGGGUCGGAUCACAACAACAUAGAACACCAUAAUAUUCAGUCAUCUCAUAUUUUAUAAUUA